GCGUAGGAAAUUUGAGAGGAGCUGUCCUUAGUACGAGAGGACCGGGAUGGACGCACCGCUGGUGUACCAGUUGUUCUGCCAAGGGCAUAGCUGGGUAGCUAUGUGCGGAAGGGAUAAGUGCUGAAAGCAUCUAAGCAUGAAGCCCCCCUCAAGAUGAGAUUUCCCAUAGCGUAAGCUAGUAAGAUCCCUGAAAGAUGAUCAGGUUGAUAGGUUCGAGGUGGAAGCAUGGUGACAUGUGGAGCUGACGAAUACUAAUAGAUCGAGGACUUAACCAUAUAA
RNAcentral lists this ribosomal RNA (279 nucleotides) under Bacillus cereus. RNAcentral's name for it is "partial 23S ribosomal RNA". It matches the Rfam family "Bacterial large subunit ribosomal RNA", at positions 2651 to 2925 of the family's 2925-position model. The record is from RNAcentral. Lineage: Bacteria; Bacillati; Bacillota; Bacilli; Caryophanales; Bacillaceae.